GAGGGUGUAGCUCAGUAGGUAGAGCACCGGCCUUUUAAGCCGGGUGUCGUGGGUUCGAACCCCCCCACCCUCA
RNAcentral lists this transfer RNA (73 nucleotides) under Candidatus Zixiibacteriota bacterium. Its description in RNAcentral is "tRNA-Lys". It matches the Rfam family "tRNA". From Rfam's summary of the family: Transfer RNA (tRNA) molecules are approximately 80 nucleotides in length. Their secondary structure includes four short double-helical elements and three loops (D, anti-codon, and T loops). Further hydrogen bonds mediate the characteristic L-shaped molecular structure. tRNAs have two regions of fundamental functional importance: the anti-codon, which is responsible for specific mRNA codon recognition, and the 3' end, to which the tRNAs corresponding amino acid is attached (by aminoacyl-tRNA synthetases). tRNAs cope with the degeneracy of the genetic code in two manners: having more than one tRNA (with a specific anti-codon) for a particular amino acid; and 'wobble' base-pairing, i.e. permitting non-standard base-pairing at the 3rd anti-codon position. Lineage: Bacteria; Pseudomonadati; Candidatus Zixiibacteriota. The record is from RNAcentral.